UCCGUGGUGACACGGAAUCUGAAGGAAGCUCUAGGCAAAUCCUCGGUCUGAGGUACACGAAUCACAUUCGAGGUUUCCGUUUCAGGACGAGUUAGCAGAACAAAACAAAGUCCAAAAUAUCUCCGGAUGAAACGGGAAUAAAUGUGGCGGAUAUUUGAGGAGAAAGUGAAUGAA
RNAcentral lists this non-coding RNA (174 nucleotides) under Bacillus sp. OV166. The record is from RNAcentral. Lineage: Bacteria; Bacillati; Bacillota; Bacilli; Caryophanales; Bacillaceae.